UACGGGGGGGGCAAGCGUUGUUCGGAAUUACUGGGCGUAAAGGGCUCGUAGGCGGCCAACUAAGUCAGACGUGAAAUCCCUCAGCUUAACUGGGGAACUGCGUCUGAUACUGGAUGGCUUGAGUUCGGGAGAGGGAUGCGGAAUUCCAGGUGUAGCGGUGAAAUGCGUAGAUAUCAGGAGGAACACCUAUGGCGAAGGCAGCUCGCUGGGACGGUACUGACGCUGAGGCGCGAAAGCGUGGGGAGCAAACAGG
This 253-nucleotide ribosomal RNA is filed under the name uncultured bacterium. Its description in RNAcentral is "partial 16S ribosomal RNA". It matches the Rfam family "Bacterial small subunit ribosomal RNA", at positions 524 to 776 of the family's 1533-position model. The record is from RNAcentral.